GGAAACUUCACCCACAAGUAGUGAAGCAGAUAUGGAGAAUAUUUGGCAGGGCUCAAGUAGACCUAUUUGCAUCUCAAGAGACGUCUCAAUGCCCCCUUUGGUUCUCUCUAGUUCAUCCAGCUCCUCUGGGACUGGACGCUAUGGUACAGACCUGGCCGAGGCUUCGUCUGUACGCAUUUCCCCCUAUUGCUCUGCUCCCGGGAGUUCUGGCGAGAGUGCGCCGGGACGGGGUACGUCUGUUGUUAGUAGCCCCGUUCUGGCCGGGCCGAGUAUGGUUCUCAGAUCUAGUCUCGCUCCUCGACGGCUCUCCGUGGGAGAUACCGAUCAGGACAGACCUCCUCUCGCAGGCGCAGGGUACGAUAAUUCACCCUCGCCCGGAGUUGUGGAAGCUGUGGGUGUGGCCCCUGAGGGGGCACAACUUUUAGCAGCCGGUCUCUCAACCGAGGUUGUUGAGUCCCUUCUCCAAUCCAGAGCUCCCUCAACGAGGAAACUGUACGCCCUGAGGUGGAAACUCUUCACCUCAUGGUGCAGAGACCGCCAGCUAGACCCAGCAAACUGCCCGAUUGGUACAGUUCUGGAGUUUCUACAGGCUAGGCUCUCUGCAGGGUUGACCCACUCCACGCUGAAGGUUUACGUGGCGGCUAUUGCGGCCUACCACGCCCUUCUCGAUGGCCAGUCUUUGGGAAGACACCCCUUAGUUACACGUUUCCUCCGCGGUGCGCUGAGGCUGAAACCUCCAGUACGGUCCCGUAUUCCCCCGUGGGACCUGGUGGUGGUGUUAGAGGCAAUGUGCAGACCCCCAUUUGAACCUAUUCAAGAUAUCUCAGACAGACACCUUACACUUAAAACCUCCUUUCUGUUGGCUAUCACCUCUCUGCGGAGAGUAGGAGACCUUCAGGCCCUCUCUGUGGCCCCUACUUAUCUUGAAUUUGCACCAGGCAUGACUAAAGCGUUCAUAUACCCUCGAGCGGGAUAUGUUCCUAAGGUUCCCUCUGUUACACCACAACCUGUCGUACUGCAGGCCUUCUGUCCUCCUCCCUUUCGGGAGCCCGACCAGGCGAAGCUAAAUUGUAUGUGUCCAGUUAGAGCGCUGGACGCAUACGUCCACAGAGCUGCCCUGUGGAGGAAGACCGAUCAAUUGCUUGUAUGCUACGGUCCCCCCAAGAGGGGUUUUCCUGCUUCUAAGCAGACUAUUAGUCGUUGGAUAGUCGAGGCUAUCAACGCUUCCUAUGAGUCCUCUGGUCGUCCCCCGCUGUCGGGAGCCAAGGCUCACUCUACCCGGGGUAUGGCGGCCUCCAAGGCCUUCUUAGCAGGUGUAUCCAUGCUGGACAUCUGCAACGCUGCGGGAUGGUCCACGCCCUCCACGUUUGUCAGAUUCUAUGGCCUAGACAUGCCAGUCACUCCAGGCGCUUCAGUCCUCCUGACCUAAGCUGUGCUCUUCGGAUACACACUAGGCAGGGGUUUGGUAGUCUGGCGGCGUUGGUACUCGUUCCCCAAAGCGCUUUUGACGCAACUCGAGUUCCUGAAGAGGAACGUCUCUAGGUUACGUAUGUAACCCUAGUUCCUCGAGGGAACGAGACGCUGCGUCUCGGAGCCAUACCCCCCGGCACCCCUGCCGGCGCUUGCUGGUACUCGAAGCUGACGCCAGCUGCGUGGCACGUGCUUUUAUAGCUUCCUGGUCGCUUACGUCACUCCGCCGGUGACGUCACGCUCUUCCAUUGGUCUGAUUUCACACGAUACUCAGAGUCGCGCACGCUGGGCGCGUUCCCCAAAGCGCUUUUGACGCAGCGUCUCGUUCCCUCGAGGAACUAGGGUUACAUACGUAACCUAGAGACG
RNAcentral lists this long non-coding RNA (1836 nucleotides) under Carassius auratus (goldfish). Its description in RNAcentral is "lncRNA (ENSCARG00000015557.1)". Lineage: Eukaryota; Metazoa; Chordata; Actinopteri; Cypriniformes; Cyprinidae. The record is from RNAcentral.